Molecule: ribosomal RNA, 731 nt
Filed under: uncultured Leptotrichia sp.
Lineage: Bacteria; Fusobacteriati; Fusobacteriota; Fusobacteriia; Fusobacteriales; Leptotrichiaceae
Description: bacterial SSU rRNA
Rfam family: Bacterial small subunit ribosomal RNA
Source: RNAcentral
GAUGAACGCUGACAGAAUGCUUAACACAUGCAAGUCUUUGGCGAAGCUGUGCUUGCACAGCCUAGCCAAGGCGGACGGGUGAGUAACGCGUAAGGGACUUGCCCUGCAGUCAGGGAUAACAGACGGAAACGACUGAUAAAACCUGGUAAAGUCAGGCGGACUCAUGUCCAGCCUGAUGAAAAGGAAUGCUGCAGGAGAGCCUUGCGUCCUAUUAGCUUGUUGGCGGGGUAACGGCCCACCAAGGCGAUGAUAGGUAGCCGGCCUGAGAGGGUGGACGGCCACAAGGGGACUGAGAUACGGCCCUUACUCCUACGGGAGGCAGCAGUGGGGAAUAUUGGACAAUGGGGGCAACCCUGAUCCAGCAAUUCUGUGUGCACGAUGAAGGUCUUCGGAUUGUAAAGUGCUUUCAGCAGGGAAGAAAAAAUGACGGUACCUGCAGAAGAAGCGACGGCUAAAUACGUGCCAGCAGCCGCGGUAAUACGUAUGUCGCGAGCGUUAUCCGGAAUUAUUGGGCAUAAAGGGCAUCUAGGCGGCCGGAUAAGUCUGGGGUGAAAACUUGCGGCUCAACCGCAAGCCUGCCCUGGAAACUAUGCGGCUAGAGUACUGGAGAGGUGGACGGAACUGCACGAGUAGAGGUGAAAUUCGUAGAUAUGUGCAGGAAUGCCGAUGAUGAAGAUAGUUCACUGGACGGUAACUGACGCUGAAGUGCGAAAGCUAGGGGAGCAAACAGG